CCCGUGCAUCCCUGGGAGCGCUGUCCAAAGGCUCCUGGAGCUCUGGCAGCCUCGGAGCCAUGCCCAUGCCCUGAGGAGCCUGGGCAGUGCCCAGCACCCUCUGGGGGAAUAACUUUUCCUGAUACUCAGCCUAACCUUGACAGAGCUCCAGCCGUUCCCUGGGUCCCAUCACUGCUCGCAGAGAGCAGAGCCAGCCCUCGGGCGGAAGCUCAGGACCCCUAAAGAGUUCCCAGCUCAAUCUCCUCUCCAGCUCAACAAGCCCACCAGCCCCAGCCGCUCGCGUGGCCCAGCAGGGUCUGUUUCAGAGGCAGGCUCCACAGCUGCCCGAGCCAAGGGGAUUUUUCCCCGUUCCCGGCACAGCCGCCGCUGGCACGGCAGGGAGCGACCCCCGCGUUCAGCGCUGCGCGGCGGACACGGGCGGGACAGGGGCGGGAGCGCAGCCCGCGGUACUGCCCGCAGCCCCCCGCUCCCCGGCCCUGCUGAGCUUCCUUUUGUCCCCCUCCCAGCUGGUUUCUUUUUUGCCGUGGUCCCGUCCAGUCUCCAAGGCAAUGUUCAUCACCAAGUUUUGGGUGCAGACCGCGCUGGGGCCGGGGUUUUGUCAGGCAGGAGGAUUUGUUGGGAGGCUCCGGAGAACUUUGCUCCAAUCGCUCCAUCCCCCCCUGUACGGCAGUACCCAUCCCUCGUCCUAAACACCAGCACGUCCCUUCGCCCCGCCCACGCGCCUCAUUACAUCGGCACAUCGCCCCGCCCCCUCAUUACCGUGUAAUAAUCAGCAGGCCACGCCGCUCCCGGCGACAGAGACAGAUUAUCGAUACAUAGAUAUAGAUACAUGGAUAUAGAUGAUAUAGAUGGCUGUUCCCGGCCACAUGUUUGACCAUACAGCGACGGUGAGCAGGAGAGCCGGUCGCCAUCACAGCGCUCAGAGCUGCACUCGACCAAAAGAAAAAAGGUGGGAAUAACCUGGGAGGCAGCGCUAAGCAGGUGGGCUCGAGGGUGGCAGGUCACAAGCUGAGGAACAGAGAGAGGGCCCAGCAAAAAUACAGGGUACAGGUUAGGAUACAAGGUAGAGGUACAUCAGUCCUCACCCCUGCCCUAGCCCUUACCUUAAACACCACGCAAGCAGCUGAGAGGCAGAGGGGCAUCUCAAACAGCAAAGCCGGGGCUCCAGGGUGAUAUACAGAUGCCAGGGGCCAGAAACAGUAAAUGAGAGACUGAGAAGAAAGGAACAAAUAUCAGGUGGGCUUGACAGUGUCAGAGAGAGACUUUAGAGAGGAACAACUCAAGGGCUAGAGAGCACACAGUGAAUAUCAGGGGUACAGGUUGGGAUAUAAGGCAGAAUACAGGUGUACCAGCCCUCACCUCAUGCCAGCCCAUACCCUAAACAGCAACCCUAAAGGAGGACAAGGGCAGAACCCCCACAAGUGCCCGCAGUAACUGUAAUGCUAACCCUAAGCAGGGUGCAGUAGUGGAGGGUUAGGGUUCACAGGUACACCCCCAGGGAUAACCGGGGGAUUCCCUCCCAGCCCACCCAGGGAUGCCUGUAGCCCACAGCCAGGGAAGCUCACAACCUUGACUGUGGCCAUGGUUGGUUGGUUCAAUGGUGAGACUGCUGCGAAGAGCGCAGCUCUGCAAGGGUCGGCCUCUGAGGGCCGAGGAGCCGGGCGUCCUUAGGAGAAUGCCGUGACCAAGGGACCACAGCCCGGUGACUGCAGGAAAUUGCCAGCGAGAGAGGCGGCCUUCCUUUGCAGCAGACGUGGCUUCUCAUCCCAGGAUGCUCGAGAGAUAAGUCGAGGGCUGUGACAUGCAGGGGGGAAUGAAAGUGAGGUACUGGGAGAACUUUUUUGUUGUUACCUUAUUGCAAAAGUUUCAUACCUUGGUGUUCUCUCAUGGGCAGCCCCUCAGAGCACCAACUCUUUCUUCCUCACAAAGUAGCAACUAGCUCCAUUUGCCUUCUCAACCAGCCAACCCCCUCUUUUAUAGCACUCUUCUCCUCACUGGUCACAGCUGUGGCCUGUUAAGGUCAGGCCUGUUCCUAAUCUUUGGUAAUUGGCCCAGCUGCAGCUCCUUAGGCGUGAGAUUAUUUUCUGCACUAUAUUUUCUUAUAUUUCUAUCCCCCCACAAUUUUGGAGUCAGCUCUGGAGGCGAGGAUGUGCAAGAGGUGACCCCUCUUAGGCCAGGUAAAGAACAAGCCCCACAGUGCUGAGGGGCUCAGGUCAGUCUCUGUUUGUCUUUGCAGAAGAAGCGUACACGGUGACUCUGUGUUACAGCAUUAUUGUUCGUCCUUGUUUUUAGGAAGUAAAGCCGGACUUUAGCAGUCAGGCGUUCCAGUGGUAUUACGCCGAGACUCCCUCAGCAACUGGCCAGCGGACCCGGUUCAUGGCUCUUGUGGGAAUUGAUCUUGAGGAGUAAAUUUCUGUUCAAGUGAUUAUUUAUUUUUUUUGAUCUAUUAUUAUGUUGGUCUUAGUCGUGUUAAUUGUUUUAAAUUAUGUUUUUGACACUUUGAGGCAACUUCUUUGUGGUUUUGUGGUUUUUUGUUUGGGUUUUUUUUUGUAACUAAUAUUAUACAAGUAUUUUUUUGUAAUGAUUUUAGUAAUUUUAAUUGUUGUGGCUUAACUGUAAUUUGGACAAGAGUGUAUAAAUUGUAUUUCAAGAGUUUGUGAUGUAUAGGAUUUACUGAUUUACAAUUUAAAGUUUGUGAGGGAUAAGGUUAGGUGUUAAGAGGUAUACUAACAAUAUAUGUAGAAAAUGGAUUUUUAGGAUUGGUGACUGAUGAACACUGGAUGCGUGGUUUUAGUUAGGGUUGCUUAUGUGUUUUGUUUUGGUUGUGGAACUAUUUAUGUAGGGUUUUUUUGGUGUAUUUUAAAUAAGUUUUGACACAGUGAGCAGCAAUCUCGUGUAUUUAUUUUUUGUGGAAACAGGUAUAACUUUUUCUUCAGGUUAUGAAAUUUACAGGAUUACUUUAUUGAUUACUUACUAAAUAUUGUUCUCGAGUAGGUUUUCGUAACUCUGAUUUUGAAAUCAAAGAAAAAUGAGUGGAAAAAGAUGAGGUAGAGCAGUUUUCUCCUUAUGGGAUAUAAAGGGUUUAACACAGAA
This is a long non-coding RNA of Passer domesticus (house sparrow), 3093 nucleotides long. RefSeq lists it as uncharacterized. The transcript has 3 exons. Lineage: Eukaryota; Metazoa; Chordata; Aves; Passeriformes; Passeridae. The record is from RefSeq and is a predicted model, not a curated record.